GGAUGGACCUGCCGAUGCAUUAGCUAGUUGGUAAGGUAAGGCUUACCAAGGCGAUGAUGCAUAGCCGAGUUGAGAGACUGAUCGGCCACAUUGGGACUGAGACACGGCCCAAACUCCUACGGGAGGCAGCAGUAGGGAAUCUUCCACAAUGGACGCAAGUCUGAUGGAGCAACGCCGCGUGAGUGAAGAAGGUUUUCGGAUCGUAAAGCUCUGUUGUUGGUGAAGAAGGAUAGAGGUAGUAACUGGCCUUUAUUUGACGGUAAUCAACCAGAAAGUCACGGGCUAACUACGUGCCAGCAGCCGCGGUAAAU
RNAcentral lists this ribosomal RNA (311 nucleotides) under uncultured Lactobacillus sp. RNAcentral describes it as "bacterial SSU rRNA". It matches the Rfam family "Bacterial small subunit ribosomal RNA", at positions 223 to 525 of the family's 1533-position model. The record is from RNAcentral. Lineage: Bacteria; Bacillati; Bacillota; Bacilli; Lactobacillales; Lactobacillaceae.